Molecule: non-coding RNA, 449 nt
Organism: Vicia faba (fava bean)
Lineage: Eukaryota; Viridiplantae; Streptophyta; Magnoliopsida; Fabales; Fabaceae
Source: the annotation of a GenBank genome assembly
UGAAACUCGUUCUUCCUCUCUUUCGCUCCACCUUCCAUCAACAAAGCAUCUGCAACUUCACGCAACUUCAGCCAUCAUCUUCAUCACACUUUAAUUCCACAUCCUUCGCAUCAAUUAUCUUCACGCAUCUUCAUCGCUCCUACGUCAACAGCAUCACAACCACAUCAUCAUCUUCUUCACAUCAACACUGCAAAUCUGUUGUUUCACAUCUAUCUUCAUCGCACAAGCUUUCUCAUCCCCUACUUCAACAAUCAACACAUCAACUUUCAACCUUCAAACUGCUUCAAACAACAUCGUGUUUUCAACAUCAACAAUACCACAAUGAUAGUAAAUUUACAGAAGAAAUAGAAGAAGAGAAGAGGAACCUAAAAGCCAAACAUACCUCUUCUUCUCUCUUGAAUCAAUUCCGCCCUUUUUUCUUCUAUAAAUCCGCAACGGAGAUUGUGUAA